GUUUCGUCCAUGUGGUGGAUUCAGUCGAGAUACCAGCUGGCUGCAACUGUUUAUUAAAAACACAGCACAGGGAAAACACGAAAGUGGACGUAUACGGUGUGACGCCUGCCCGGUGCCGGAAGGUUAAUUGAUGGGGUCAGCGCAAGCGAAGCUCCUGAUCGAAGCCCCGGUAAACGGCGGCCGUAACUAUAACGGUCCUAAGGUAGCGAAAUUCCUUGUCGGGUAAGUUCCGACCUGCACGAAUGGCGUAAUGAUGGCCAGGCUGUCUCCACCCGGGACUCAGUGAAAUUGAACUCGCUGUGAAGAUGCAGUGUACCCGCGGCAAGACGGAAAGACCCCGUGAACCUUUACUAUAGCUUGACACUGAACACUGGUCCUUGAUGUGCAGGAUAGGUGGGAGGCUUUGAAGUGUGGACGCCAGUCUGCAUGGAGCCAUCCUUGAAAUACCACCCUUUAAUGGCUGGUGUUCUAACGUGGGCCCCUGACCGGGGUUGCGGACAGUGUCUGGUGGGUAGUUUGACUGGGGCGGUCUCCUCCUAAAGAGUAACGGAGGAGCACGAAGGUUGGCUAAUCCUGGUCGGACAUCAGGAGGUUAGUGCAAUGGCAUAAGCCAGCUUGACUGCGAGCGUGACGGCGCGAGCAGGUGCGAAAGCAGGUCAUAGUGAUCCGGUGGUUCUGAAUGGAAGGGCCAUCGCUCAACGGAUAAAAGGUACUCCGGGGAUAACAGGCUGAUACCGCCCAAGAGUUCAUAUCGACGGCGGUGUUUGGCACCUCGAUGUCGGCUCAUCACAUCCUGGGGCUGAAGUAGGUCCCAAGGGUAUGGCUGUUCGCCAUUUAAAGUGGUACGCGAGCUGGGUUUAGAACGUCGUGAGACAGUUCGGUCCCUAUCUGCCGUGGGCGCUGGAAGAUUGAGGGGGGCUGCUCCUAGUACGAGAGGACCGGAGUGGACGCAUCACUGGUGUUCGGGUUGUCAUGCCAAUGGCACUGCCCGGUAGCUACAUGCGGAAGAGAUAAGUGCUGAAAGCAUCUAAGCACGAAACUUGCCCCGAGAUGAAUCUUCCCUGAGCCUUUAAGGCUCCUGAAGGAACGUUGAAGACGACGACGUUGAUAGGCCGGGUGUGUAAGCGCAGCGAUGCGUUGAGCUAACCGGUACUAAUGAACCGUGAGGCUUAACCUU
This 1177-nucleotide ribosomal RNA is filed under the name Salmonella enterica subsp. houtenae str. ATCC BAA-1581. Its description in RNAcentral is "bacterial LSU rRNA". It matches the Rfam family "Bacterial large subunit ribosomal RNA", at positions 1753 to 2925 of the family's 2925-position model. The record is from RNAcentral. Lineage: Bacteria; Pseudomonadati; Pseudomonadota; Gammaproteobacteria; Enterobacterales; Enterobacteriaceae.